UUAUAUGUGAGGAGUUGAGAUCCUCCGCAGUGGAAACAAGGAAACACUUGCGACUGAUCUCACAA
Molecule: small RNA, 65 nt
Organism: Prochlorococcus marinus str. NATL2A
Lineage: Bacteria; Bacillati; Cyanobacteriota; Cyanophyceae; Synechococcales; Prochlorococcaceae
Rfam family: Cyano-1 RNA
Source: Rfam